RNAcentral lists this ribosomal RNA (1363 nucleotides) under Lactiplantibacillus plantarum. RNAcentral describes it as "bacterial SSU rRNA". It matches the Rfam family "Bacterial small subunit ribosomal RNA", at positions 82 to 1432 of the family's 1533-position model. Lineage: Bacteria; Bacillati; Bacillota; Bacilli; Lactobacillales; Lactobacillaceae. The record is from RNAcentral.
CAUGUUUGAGUGAGUGGCGAACUGGUGAGUAACACGUGGGAAACCUGCCCAGAAGCGGGGGAUAACACCUGGAAACAGAUGCUAAUACCGCAUAACAACUUGGACCGCAGGGUCCGAGUUUGAAAGAUGGCUUCGGCUAUCACUUUUGGAUGGUCCCGCGGCGUAUUAGCUAGAUGGUGGGGUAACGGCUCACCAUGGCAAUGAUACGUAGCCGACCUGAGAGGGUAAUCGGCCACAUUGGGACUGAGACACGGCCCAAACUCCUACGGGAGGCAGCAGUAGGGAAUCUUCCACAAUGGACGAAAGUCUGAUGGAGCAACGCCGCGUGAGUGAAGAAGGGUUUCGGCUCGUAAAACUCUGUUGUUAAAGAAGAACAUAUCUGAGAGUAACUGUUCAGGUAUUGACGGUAUUUAACCAGAAAGCCACGGCUAACUACGUGCCAGCAGCCGCGGUAAUACGUAGGUGGCAAGCGUUGUCCGGAUUUAUUGGGCGUAAAGCGAGCGCAGGCGGUUUUUUAAGUCUGAUGUGAAAGCCUUCGGCUCAACCGAAGAAGUGCAUCGGAAACUGGGAAACUUGAGUGCAGAAGAGGACAGUGGAACUCCAUGUGUAGCGGUGAAAUGCGUAGAUAUAUGGAAGAACACCAGUGGCGAAGGCGGCUGUCUGGUCUGUAACUGACGCUGAGGCUCGAAAGUAUGGGUAGCAAACAGGAUUAGAUACCCUGGUAGUCCAUACCGUAAACGAUGAAUGCUAAGUGUUGGAGGGUUUCCGCCCUUCAGUGCUGCAGCUAACGCAUUAAGCAUUCCGCCUGGGGAGUACGGCCGCAAGGCUGAAACUCAAAGGAAUUGACGGGGGCCCGCACCAGCGGUGGAGCAUGUGGUUUAAUUCGAAGCUACGCGAAGAACCUUACCAGGUCUUGACAUACUAUGCAAAUCUAAGAGAUUAGACGUUCCCUUCGGGGACAUGGAUACAGGUGGUGCAUGGUUGUCGUCAGCUCGUGUCGUGAGAUGUUGGGUUAAGUCCCGCAACGAGCGCAACCCUUAUUAUCAGUUGCCAGCAUUAAGUUGGGCACUCUGGUGAGACUGCCGGUGACAAACCGGAGGAAGGUGGGGAUGACGUCAAAUCAUCAUGCCCCUUAUGACCUGGGCUACACACGUGCUACAAUGGAUGGUACAACGAGUUGCGAACUCGCGAGAGUAAGCUAAUCUCUUAAAGCCAUUCUCAGUUCGGAUUGUAGGCUGCAACUCGCCUACAUGAAGUCGGAAUCGCUAGUAAUCGCGGAUCAGCAUGCCGCGGUGAAUACGUUCCCGGGCCUUGUACACACCGCCCGUCACACCAUGAGAGUUUGUAACACCCAAAGUCGGGG